This 301-nucleotide ribosomal RNA is filed under the name uncultured bacterium. RNAcentral describes it as "partial 16S ribosomal RNA". It matches the Rfam family "Bacterial small subunit ribosomal RNA", at positions 509 to 809 of the family's 1533-position model. The record is from RNAcentral.
CAGUCGCCGCGGGAAUACGGAGGGUGCAAGCGUUGUCCGGAUUUAUUGGGUUUAAAGGGUGCGCAGGCGGGGGGGUCAGUCCGCGGUGAAAGACGAUCGCUCAACGAUUGCAGUGCCGUGGAUACUGCCCUUCUUGAAUCUGGUUGAGGCCGGUGGAAUUGACCGUGUAGCGGUGAAAUGCAUAGAUAUGGUCAAGAACUCCAAUUGCGAAGGCAGCCGGCUGGGCCAGCAUUGACGCUCAGGCACGAGAGUGCGGGGAUCAAACAGGAUUAGAUACCCCAGUAGUCCCUGUCUCUUAUAU